CCUACGGGAGGCAGCAGUGGGGAAUUUUGGACAAUGGGCGAAAGCCUGAUCCAGCCAUGCCGCGUGCGGGAAGAAGGCCUUCGGGUUGUAAACCGCUUUUGUCAGGGAAGAAAUCCUUUGAAAUAAUACUUCGGAGGGAUGACGGUACCUGAAGAAUAAGCACCGGCUAACUACGUGCCAGCAGCCGCGGUAAUACGUAGGGUGCAAGCGUUAAUCGGAAUUACUGGGCGUAAAGCGUGCGCAGGCGGUUAUGCAAGACAGAUGUGAAAUCCCCGGGCUCAACCUGGGAACUGCAUUUGUGACUGCAUGGCUAGAGUGCGGCAGAGGGGGAUGGAAUUCCGCGUGUAGCAGUGAAAUGCGUAGAUAUGCGGAGGAACACCGAUGGCGAAGGCAAUCCCCUGGGCCUGCACUGACGCUCAUGCACGAAAGCGUGGGGAGCAAACAGGAUUGGAUACCCUGGUAGUCCACGCCCUAAACGAUGUCAACUGGUUGUUGGGAGGGUUUCUUCUCAGUAACGUAGCUAACGCGUGAAGUUGACCGCCUGGGGAGUACGGCCGCAAGGUUGAAACUCAAAGGAAUUGACGG
This 585-nucleotide ribosomal RNA is filed under the name uncultured bacterium. RNAcentral's name for it is "bacterial SSU rRNA". It matches the Rfam family "Bacterial small subunit ribosomal RNA", at positions 338 to 916 of the family's 1533-position model. The record is from RNAcentral.